CCGAGUUUCUACUCUCAAACCCUUGCAAACCUACCUGUAACGAUGCUUCGGCGACCGGCCCUCGGGGGGGCGUCACAAACGGUCGCCGAUAGUAUUCAAAAAUCAAAUUUUUUUUUCAGAGUCUCUGAAUGAACCUAAAAAAAACAAAUCAA
Molecule: unclassified non-coding RNA, 152 nt
Filed under: uncultured fungus
Lineage: Eukaryota; Fungi
Description: sequence contains ITS1
Source: RNAcentral